UAAUUGCAGGUUGCAGCCAAAGGCUUUGAUUUUCGGGUACUUCGCCGCGGUUUGCCCGCUGCCAGGUUCUUCGUCGUGUGUUUCAUAUUUCAGUUUGUCAAGUCUGUUCCAUCUGAUGCGUUUUUAUUUGUUUGCUAUCUUUGUCUCUGUGCCAACAUCAUCAACAGCGACUCAUCGUCAUUGCCAACGUUUCGUUUGACAAUUUUCCGCCUGACAUUCAAGAUUUUAAUCGCUGCCAUUUGCCAUAACUAGAUUCUUGGGGGUUUGUCGUUCGUCGUUUGCCGUUUGAACAGUCUCCGAUUUCUCUCGCUUCAUUUGGUGUGUGCCUCACACACCCUUUGGCCCAAGAAAAUACAGCAGUUUGGAUUCGGAAUUGGAUUCGGUAUGGCUUCAUAAGUGGAAUGGGAAGCUGCGCUCUUCAGCCACACUUGACAUUUCGCCAAUCAAAUUAUUUCACUGGCACAAAUUCACUGUAUAAAUAGUCCGCUCAAAAUGGAAACUUUACAUUCGUAUUCAGCGACUACUCCGAAAAUAAUGAAUUUCUAUCUUGGAUUUCUCUUGGCCGUUGUGCUGCCUCUGCUUGUGUCAGCAGCGAAAGCACCGAAGAGGGAUGACCCUACGACAGCCGCAGCCUAAGCGGAUGAGCUGUGCCACUUCCGUCUGCACGAAGCCUUUGUCGACUUGCCUGAUUCCUGCAGAAAUGUAGAUCAAUAAAGCACGAUCUUUCAAUUUA
Long non-coding RNA from Drosophila obscura, 733 nucleotides. RefSeq lists it as uncharacterized. The transcript is spliced from 2 exons. The record is from RefSeq and is a predicted model, not a curated record. Lineage: Eukaryota; Metazoa; Arthropoda; Insecta; Diptera; Drosophilidae.